This 486-nucleotide ribosomal RNA is filed under the name uncultured bacterium. RNAcentral's name for it is "partial 16S ribosomal RNA". It matches the Rfam family "Bacterial small subunit ribosomal RNA", at positions 29 to 507 of the family's 1533-position model. The record is from RNAcentral.
AUUGAACGCUGGCGGCAUGCCUUACACAUGCAAGUCGAACGGCAGCACGGGUGCUUGCACCUGGUGGCGAGUGGCGAACGGGUGAGUAAUACAUCGGAACAUGUCCUGUAGUGGGGGAUAGCCCGGCGAAAGCCGGAUUAAUACCGCAUACGAUCUACGGAUGAAAGCGGGGGACCUUCGGGCCUCGCGCUAUAGGGUUGGCCGAUGGCUGAUUAGCUAGUUGGUGGGGUAAAGGCCUACCAAGGCGGCGAUCCGUAGCUGGUCUGAGAGGACGACCAGCCAAAUGGGAACGGGGACAGGGCCAAGACGCCUACGGGAGGCAGCAGUGGGGAAUUUUGGACAAUGGGCGAAAGCCUGAUCCAGCAAUGCCGCGUGUGUGAAGAAGGCCUUCGGGUUGUAAAGCACUUUUGUCCGGAAAGAAAUCCUUGGCCCUAAUACGGUCGGGGGAUGACGGUACCGGAAGAAUAAGCACCGGCUAACUACGUG